This is a long non-coding RNA of Gorilla gorilla gorilla (western lowland gorilla), 475 nucleotides long. RefSeq lists it as uncharacterized. The transcript is spliced from 4 exons. The record is from RefSeq and is a predicted model, not a curated record. Lineage: Eukaryota; Metazoa; Chordata; Mammalia; Primates; Hominidae.
AACCGCGUCGGCGUCUGCUUUUAACCUGUGGGAGAACUGGGCGAGCUAAGCCAAACGGAGGGCGGGAGAAAGGAAGCGGCAGCCGGCGCCUCUCGGCAACUCUAACCGUCUGGUAGAGAUCGCCAAGAUUGGUAUCCAUAGAGCUUGCUGUGGUUUGAAUGUAUCCCCCAAAGUUCAUGUGUUGGAAACUUUAUUCUUAAUGCAAAAGUGUUAAGAGGAAACAUCUGGAAACCCCUUGGAGGAGAUCUGCCACGUGGCCUCCAGUGAACUGUAGACUCCUGCAUAGCCUUCCAAAGUUCUUCAUUUGACAUUGGAUAGAAAAGCACUGUGGAAAUCCCUAUCCUGUUUUGUUCAGAUCGAAUUACCGGUGCAUGCAGCCCCCAGACACGUACCCCCUGCUUGCUCAAUCGAUCACGACCCUCUCACACGCACCCCCUUAGAGUUGUGAGCCCUUAAAAGGGACAGGAAUUGCUCA